AGUGAACGUUGGCGGUAGGCCUAACACAUGCAAGUCGAACGGCAGCACAGUAAGAGCUUGCUCUUACGGGUGGCGAGUGGCGGACGGGUGAGGAAUACAUCGGAAUCUACUUUUUCGUGGGGGAUAACGUAGGGAAACUUACGCUAAUACCGCAUACGACCUACGGGUGAAAGCAGGGGAUCUUCGGACCUUGCGCGAUUGAAUGAGCCGAUGUCGGAUUAGCUAGUUGGCGGGGUAAAGGCCCACCAAGGCGACGAUCCGUAGCUGGUCUGAGAGGAUGAUCAGCCACACUGGAACUGAGACACGGUCCAGACUCCUACGGGAGGCAGCAGUGGGGAAUAUUGGACAAUGGGCGCAAGCCUGAUCCAGCCAUACCGCGUGGGUGAAGAAGGCCUUCGGGUUGUAAAGCCCUUUUGUUGGGAAAGAAAAGCAGCAGGUUAAUACCCCGCUGUUCUGACGGUACCCAAAAAAUAAGCACCGGCUAACUUCGUG
Molecule: ribosomal RNA, 492 nt
Filed under: uncultured bacterium
Lineage: Bacteria
Description: partial 16S ribosomal RNA
Rfam family: Bacterial small subunit ribosomal RNA
Source: RNAcentral